AGCCCAGACUCCUACGGGAGGCAGCAGUGGGGGAUAUUGCACAAUGGGGGAAACCCUGAUGCAGCGACGCCGCGUGAAGGAAGAAGUAUCUCGGUCUGUAAACUUCUAUCAGCAGGGAAGAAAAUGACGGUACCUGACCAAGAAGCCCCGGCUAACUACGUGCCAGCAGCCGCGGUAAUACGUAGGGGGCAAGCGUUAUCCGGAUUUACUGGGUGUAAAGGGAGCGUAGGCGGCGACGCAAGUCAGAAGUGAAAGCCCGGGGCUCAACUCCGGGACUGCUCUGGAAACUGCGUCGCUGGAGUACGGGAGGGGCAGGCGGAAUUCCUGGUGUAGCGGUGAAAUGCGUAGAUAUCAGGAGGAACACCGGCGGCGAAGGCGGCCUGCUGGACCGCGACUGACGUUGAGGCUCGAAAGCGUGGGGAGCGAACAGGAUUAGAUACCCCUGUA
Molecule: ribosomal RNA, 447 nt
Filed under: uncultured bacterium
Lineage: Bacteria
Description: bacterial SSU rRNA
Rfam family: Bacterial small subunit ribosomal RNA
Source: RNAcentral